Molecule: non-coding RNA, 47 nt
Filed under: Mytilus galloprovincialis (Mediterranean mussel)
Lineage: Eukaryota; Metazoa; Mollusca; Bivalvia; Mytilida; Mytilidae
Rfam family: Histone 3' UTR stem-loop
About the family: The mRNAs of metazoan histone genes lack a poly-A tail. 3' end processing occurs at a site between a highly conserved stem-loop (modelled by this family) and a purine rich region around 20 nts downstream (the histone downstream element, or HDE).
Source: RNAcentral
AAAACAGUCCUUUUCAGGACUACUAAACUUUCUCAAAAAGAUGUUUU